CCAGUCGAUGAUCACUACCGAGGGUGGGCCCUUCCUCGACCCCCGCAUCUCGUGGAAAUCGUGGCCGCUGCGUACGUUUUAAAUUUCACUUUAAUUCGAGUUAGUAUUAACGACUCGUUACGGGGAUUCACGUUGAUCGGCGGAUACGAUGCUUCGUUAAUCCCGCGUUGCAUAAUGCGCGUUUACAUAAACAAGCGUAAUCCACUUACGACGCUUUUAUUUUUAGGGCGAGAACGUCAAGUGGCGUGGUAUCACUGUUUCGUGACGAACAAUGUAUCCUAACGGUACCCUUUUUUUUUGUUUCAGGAUACUUUCCCGAACCAAACUGGAAUUAGCAGCGUGAUAUUGGUUCACUUUAAAUUUCACGUACGCCGCUUUCACGUCGUCCUGACAAUAGCGCUGUUAAUAGCGUCUUUUGAAUGGACCGACUCAUCUCUUCCGGAGUGGCUCUUCCACGGCCCUCCGACCACCCCCGCCUCGGACCGUGCAGUAAAUAUUAUCAGGGGGUAUCCUGUCGGUUCUUCAGCUUCAAGGGAGGUCUACUAACGCGGAUGCGCCUAGGGCCAGCGAGGAUUCCCUGUUGACGCCCUGAAACUUCUCUGUACACAGAACAGUGGCACGCCAGGAGAAAGGAGCGUCGCGCGUGGAAAACGCUGGCUCACUCCUCCAGUUGGCGUGCAGUGGACUCCAAAGUAGUCUCUUCAGGAUCCCUCAGUGCCAAAGGGUUUAGACUCUCGGGCACUUCUUUCGAUCACAUCAAGGCUGAAAGUUACGAUUAGCCUAUGCUAAGCUUGAAGAGGACUCGCCAGGCCACAUCACAGAAUGAAUUAACCAAGGAACCGUGCGAGGGGUGUGUGUGGGGGGGCCUCGGUAGUAAAUCGGCGAGGAAAUCCCCGUUUCUCGCUCCCUUUCCUCGAGACACUCAUGCCAUUCAGGCACCCGCCGUUUUCCGCGCGACAAUUGUCGGGCGCAACGCAAUAAUUGCAUAAUUCCCGCCACACUUGGCACUCGUCAGAGGUGGCCGGGACACGAGUGGUUGAGCCGCCCCGCGCGAAAGGGCGGUGGCGUAGGAAGCCACCGAAUUGUAGGUUGCGAGUUGUGGCUACAAGAAGAGGCACCUUUAUUCCCGAGCAGGAGCCCUGCCUCGAGGGGGAUGAAAUUCGCGGCGCGCGUCUUCGUUUCGGAGCAGAGAGCUCGUAGACCAUGGAUUGAUCGCGGUGGAGUCACGUUAAUCCUCGACUGGUGGCGCGGGAUCAAAAUAACCCGCGCCGCAAGCCUUGGCCCAACGUAUUUUAACGCGAGUCAGUGGAGAGUACUAACAAGAGAGAGUCGGGACAUCAGGGAAGAUCAACAUGAUGCGGCCCGCAAGGUUAAAGCGACGAAAUGACGCAGUAACUUUGGAUUGUUACUUUGGUAGCGACUUUCUCAUGGUAUUAUGUGGAGUAACCGAGUACCACGAGGUACCGAACAGCUGAUCUGUGAUAUCUGACGCGGUCUGACGUAGUUUUCUGCGUGUGUAUGUUCAAGUAAACCCGUGGUGGGUAUCCAUGUCGAAACCACAGGCUCUCAACAACUGUGGAAUCCCGCCUCUUGUAAUAGAGCCGUCGACUUAUGCCCUCUCACGCAUUAACACAAGCAGGCUGUGUUGACGCAUACGGGUA
Molecule: long non-coding RNA, 1661 nt
Organism: Hylaeus volcanicus
Lineage: Eukaryota; Metazoa; Arthropoda; Insecta; Hymenoptera; Colletidae
Exons: 4
Source: RefSeq, a predicted model, not a curated record